Molecule: long non-coding RNA, 179 nt
Organism: Pelobates fuscus (common spadefoot toad)
Lineage: Eukaryota; Metazoa; Chordata; Amphibia; Anura; Pelobatidae
Exons: 3
Source: RefSeq, a predicted model, not a curated record
UAUGAAUUUCCCAUCAUUUUUUUCAGUGGUUUACCUUAUUGGUCUGGCGUAAUGUAUUUUAUAUCCGGAUUAAUAUCGGUUAUUGCUGCAGUGAAACCAACAUUAGGGAAGGUGAGAUCAAACUUGGUUCUGAACAUCAUAAGCUCAGUUGUUGCAGCUAUUGCAAUUAUAUUGCUUGG